This 1053-nucleotide long non-coding RNA is filed under the name Heterocephalus glaber (naked mole-rat). Its description in RNAcentral is "lncRNA (ENSHGLG00100044980.1)". The record is from RNAcentral. Lineage: Eukaryota; Metazoa; Chordata; Mammalia; Rodentia; Bathyergidae.
UUCUUACUUCAUUUCCCUCUCCUCUCCUUCCCUCUUUGACGUUAAUUAGGUUUUGCAAUUCCACCAACCUGGGGGUUGGCUCCAAUGCUUCACAGCCUCUCCAAAGUUGUUUAGCUGUUUAGUUGUUUAGUUGUUUAUACUUAGGAUUUUCAAAAGGAUAGAGGCAAAUAAAUGAUGAGAAUGGCAGAAGUGCCUAACACCAGAUAGGCCUUUGGGCCAGCUGGGAGACUAAAGUUCACUCCUUUGGUCCUUUUCCGAGGAAACCAGGCCUGUGGGGGAUGGGGGAGCGAAGACUCCCGUUGCUGGGCAACCGCUGGGCUUCCUGGGGACUCCAUCGGGCGCCAUCUUGACCGGACUCCACCUCUUGAGCAGAGUGGCCAUGGCUACCGCCUCCCCUUUGAGAAACCUGCAGGAGGAGGUGCUGUGUUCCAUUUGCCUUGACUAUCUGAGAGCCAGUGACCAGUGACUGCUGCAUCAUUGAGUUUGAUAGGGUAAAAUUCUAAACCAUUUGAAGAUUCUGAAGGGAGACAAAGAAUUCAGCAUUUUCAGUCUACUGAAGAUGAGAUUCAGGCUCUGCCGGAAAACUGAUGAGGGAUCUGGAAUAUAAAACAGCCCAGACUAAGCUGAGGUUUCCAUGGAAUGCUGGGUAAAAAUUCAUUUGGAGUUUCUAGAGGACCUAUAGGGGUGAAUGUGGAUGAAGACAAGAACUCAUAAAUCCGGGACCCGAGUCUAAAGGCUGAUGAGGCAGAAUCAUUACAGGCCUGGCCUCCACCAGCGACUUCCUGGCUGUCAAAUGAUUGCUCCCUCAUAGCUUGCAAUCCACAAACUCAGUGACAAGCAUUUGCUGUGGCCUUAGAAUUCAGAGACACCAAGGAAAGUCUUCACCUGAGGAGCUCCCAGUCCAAAUGGGAAGAAAAUCAUACGGCUGACUCUAAUGUCCAUAGAUGGAGAGGGAGAAGCAUCUUCCGGGAGCCUAGAGGAGGAAAAGAAGUGCUGACAAGGAGCAGUAACACCUGUCACCUGUUCUGUCACCUCAUUCUGGCUGCUUUUGCU